GACGAACGCCGGCGGCGUGCUUAACACAUGCAAGUCGAACGGAAAGGCCCUGCUUUUGUGGGGUGCUCGAGUGGCGAACGGGUGAGUGACACGUGAGUAACCUGCCCUUGACUUUGGGAUAACUUCAGGAAACUGGGGCUAAUACCGGAUAGGAGCUCCUGCUGCAUGGUGGGGGUUGGAAAGUUUCGGCGGUUGGGGAUGGACUCGCGGCUUAUCAGCUUGUUGGUGGGGUAGUGGCUUACCAAGGCUUUGACGGGUAGCCGGCCUGAGAGGGUGACCGGCCACAUUGGGACUGAGAUACGGCCCAGACUCCUACGGGAGGCAGCAGUGGGGAAUAUUGCACAAUGGGCGGAAGCCUGAUGCAGCAACGCCGCGUGCGGGAUGACGGCCUUCGGGUUGUAAACCGCUUUCGCCUGUGACGAAGCGUGAGUGACGGUAAUGGGUAAAGAAGCACCGGCUAACUACGUG
Molecule: ribosomal RNA, 468 nt
Filed under: uncultured bacterium
Lineage: Bacteria
Description: partial 16S ribosomal RNA
Rfam family: Bacterial small subunit ribosomal RNA
Source: RNAcentral